UGAUGAGAGUACUUACGAAUAAGCAUCGGCUAACUCCGUGCCAGCAGCCGCGGUAAUACGGGGGAUGCAAGCGUUAUCCGGGAUUUAUUGGGUUUAAAGGGUGCGUAGGCGGUUUUGUAAGUCAGCGGUGAAAUUUCGGAGCUCAACUUCGAACGCGCCGUUGAUACUGCAGAACUGGAAUGCGGAUGCCGUGGGAGGAAUGUGUGGUGUAGCGGUGAAAUGCAUAGAUAUCACACAGAACACCGAUUGCGAAGGCAUCUCACGAAUCCGCUAUUGACGCUGAGGCACGAAAGCGUGGGGAUCAAACAGGAUUAGAUACCCUGGUAGUCCACGCUGUAAACGAUGAUGACUAACCGUCGGCGAUAUACAGUCGGUGGCCAAGCGAAAGCGAUAAGUCAUCCACCUGGGGAGUACGACCGCAAGGUUGAAACUCAAAGGAAUUGACGGGGGCCCGCACAAGCGGAGGAACAUGUGGUUUAAUUCGAUGAUACGCGAGGAACCUUACCCGGGCUCGAACGGCAGGGGAAUAAUCCAGAGAUGGAUUAGUCUUCGGACUCCUGUCGAGGUGCUGCAUGGUUGUCGUCAGCUCGUGCUGUGAAGUGUCGGCUUAAGUGCCAUAACGAGCGCAACCCUUGCCAUUAGUUGCCAUCAGGUUAAGCUGGGGACUCUAGUGGGACUGCCACCGCAAGGUGUGAGGAAGGGGGGGAUGACGUCAAAUCAGCACGGCCCUUACGUCCGGGGCGACACACGUGUUACAAUGGUGGGUACAGAGGGAAGCUACCUGGCGACAGGAUGCAGAUCUCGAAAACCCAUCCCAGUUCGGAUUGGAGUCUGCAACCCGACUCCAUGAAGUUGGAUUCGCUAGUAAUCGCGCAUCAGCCAUGGCGCGGUGAAUACGUUCCCGGGCCUUGUACACACCGCCCGUCAAGCCAUGGAAGCCGGGGGCGCCUGAAGUUCGUGACCGCGAGGAGCGACUCG
This 978-nucleotide ribosomal RNA is filed under the name uncultured bacterium. Its description in RNAcentral is "bacterial SSU rRNA". It matches the Rfam family "Bacterial small subunit ribosomal RNA", at positions 467 to 1459 of the family's 1533-position model. The record is from RNAcentral.